This 425-nucleotide ribosomal RNA is filed under the name Verrucomicrobiota bacterium. RNAcentral's name for it is "Verrucomicrobia bacterium partial 16S ribosomal RNA". It matches the Rfam family "Bacterial small subunit ribosomal RNA", at positions 355 to 776 of the family's 1533-position model. The record is from RNAcentral. Lineage: Bacteria; Pseudomonadati; Verrucomicrobiota.
UGAGGAAUAUUGGUCAAUGGGCGAGAGCCUGAACCAGCCACGUCGCGUGAAGGAAGACUGACCUUACGGUUUGUAAACUUCUUUUGUAGAGGGGUAAUGGCAGAUACGUGUAUUUGCGUGAAAGUACUCUACGAAUAAGCAUCGGCUAACUCCGUGCCAGCAGCCGCGGUAAUACGGGGGAUGCGAGCGUUAUCCGGAAUUAUUGGGUUUAAAGGGUGCGCAGGUGGCUAAUCAGGUCAGUGGUGAAAAGCUAUGGCUCAACCAUGGUCUUGCCAUUGAAACCGUAUAGCUAGAGAGGAGACGAGGUAGGCGGAAUGUGUGGUGUAGCAGUGAAAUGCAUAGAUAUCACACAGAACUCCGAUUGCGAAGGCAGCUUACCAGGCUUUAUCUGACACUUAGGCACGACAGCGUGGGGAUCAAACAGG